RNAcentral lists this ribosomal RNA (571 nucleotides) under uncultured bacterium. Its description in RNAcentral is "bacterial SSU rRNA". It matches the Rfam family "Bacterial small subunit ribosomal RNA", at positions 72 to 637 of the family's 1533-position model. The record is from RNAcentral.
CAGGGAGCUUGCUCCUGGGUGGCGAGUGGCGGACGGGUGAGGAAUACAUCGGAAUCUGCCCUGUCGUGGGGGAUAACGUAGGGAAACUUACGCUAAUACCGCAUACGACCUUCGGGUGAAAGAGGGGGAUCGCAAGACCUCUCGCGAUUGGAUGAGCCGAUGUCGGAUUAGCUAGUUGGCGGGGUAAAGGCCCACCAAGGCGACGAUCCGUAGCUGGUCUGAGAGGAUGAUCAGCCACACUGGAACUGAGACACGGUCCAGGCUCCUACGGGAGGCAGCAGUGGGGAAUAUUGGACAAUGGGCGCAAGCCUGAUCCAGCCAUGCCGCGUGAGUGAAGAAGGCCUUCGGGUUGUAAAGCUCUUUUGUCCGGAAAGAAAAGUUCCCGGUUAAUACCCGGGGAUCAUGACGGUACCGGAAGAAUAAGCACCGGCUAACUUCGUGCCAGCAGCCGCGGUAAUACGAAGGGUGCAAGCGUUACUCGGAAUUACUGGGCGUAAAGCGUGCGUAGGUGGUUCGUUAAGUCUGAUGUGAAAGCCCUGGGCUCAACCUGGGAAUGGCAUUGGAUACUGGC